UUUUUUUUUUACACUUUAAAAUUCAUAAUGGGGGUAAAUAAUUACCCAAUUAGUUUAGGGUCUAAAGUAAAUUUUGCUAACAAGUUGAGGAGGGAUUUGAUGUAUUUUCUCAAUUAUUAUUCAUGCUUUUUGACUGUACUAAAAUUAUGUUAAAAAUAAGAAUGCAUAACUCACAAAAAUUGUGAGUUAUGUUAAAAUAAAAUGCAUAACUCACAAUUUUUGUGAGUUAUGUUAAAAUAAGAAUGAAUAACUCACAAAAAUUGUGAGUUAUGCACUUUUCAAGAAAAUUAACACCGUGUGCUGUCUUCCGUUAAGCAUAGAUUGAUACAUUUUUAAAUAUAUGACAUAAUUUGGUGUUUUUUUUUAGUUUGGUGGCAUAAAAUGAUUCCGGACUCAAUAUAGAGAAUGGUCUAUUACCCCUCAACCUUUAGUCGAAAUUUCAACUACACAUUCAACCUUUAAAGGUGACCUAUUAUCCCCUUAAACUUAUUUUUACCGAAUUUAUUACCCCUCAAUUGCUGAUCUAUCACUAGACGUGACUACACCCGCCCAUGGGCGCGUCAGUUGACCCAAUUUCACUUUAAAUUCUUUUUUUUUUCUGAUUGCCACAUCAUUAUUUUUAAUAAUAUAAUAAAUAUUUUAAUUAUUACUUUUUCUUAAUAAAUUCUAAUUACCACGUCAUGUCUUCUUCUUCUCUUUUAAUGGAUUUCUCCGAAACUAAGAAAUUCUUUUUUCUCCGAAAUCGAAACCAAGAAACACUUAAACUAAGAAAACAAUAAGAUUUCUCCGAUUAAUGAAUUCUUAAAUGAAGAAGUUGGGAAACUCCGAUUCAAAAAACUUGAAAAAAUUAAAGAACUUCGAUUUCCUCUCUUUUUGCUCAAGAUAACCAUUAAUGGCGAGCUCAAAGCUUCGAAUUUUCACAAUGUUAUCUAUAAUUUUUAACAUAACCCAUGUAUAAUAUUCAAUCAAUUUCUCCGAUUUUCUCUAUUUUUGCUCAAGAUCCGCCAUUAAUGGCGAGCUCAAAGCUUUGAAUUUUCACAAUGAGAAAGAAUUCACCAUUAAUGGCGAUCUUGAGCAAAAAGAGAUGAAAUUGGGUGUAAGAAUUUCAUUAAUCCGCUAUUCAAGAACUUCAUUAAUCCACCAUAUUUUUCUCAAGAAUUUUAUUUUUGACCUAAGAAGAUGAAAUUAGUUGAAAAGAAAAUGGAGCAAAAUAAAAAAUGAAAUAAUAAAAUUAAAUAAUUAAUUUUUUUAGAGUUAAAAAAAAAAGAAAAAAUAACAUGGCAUGACGUGGCAGCGCGUACAUCACACCACAUUUCAAAUGACUGGUUAUCAGUUUUCGAAAGAGUAAUAAUUCUACUUUAAAAUAAUUCAAGAAAUAAUAAUUCUACUUUAAAAUAUUUCAGGAAUAAUAGGUCACCAUUAAAGCUUUUGAUCAUUUUCUCUUAAAUAUAUUUACACUUUAUUAAGUGUAAGAAAAGAAAAAGACCAAUAAAAUACUCCAUUUGGUAGCUUAAACUGUCACUAUCACUAGUUUCCCAUUAUAUAAGGAAAAGGGUGAAAAAGAAACAGUAACAUCCAAUCGUUUCAACUUUUCUGCAGAAAGCAAAAUCAAUCAUUCAAGCAAAAAAUAGGAAAUUAAAACAACUAUUCUUUUAUAUCCAACACAUGAAAAGUAAAUAAUACUGAUACAAAUAUAGUAGAGGUGUAAGUGAUGCAUGCCUGGCAGCAUUUGAUAACCUUAUAAACAAACCCCAAUUACUAUUUAUAGAAAUUGUAAACUUCCAAUUUCUGGCUAGCUGCCUCGUAUGCAUCUCUUACAUCUCAUGUUAUACACUAUGCUAUACUAUGAAAUUAGCAAAAGCCAUAAAUAUCCGAAACAGACAACAAUACAACGGAAGCGGGCGCUUCACAGUAACAUGUUAUAUGGGCUCAACACCCUUACUAGAUACUGAUGAGUUUCACGAGCGGAGCAAGAUGGAGAGUCAAAGAAAAAUAAGGACCUAAAAUUAGGCUAAAUUAAACAAAACUUAGGUAAACUCGGACCGUUACCCUCAAUUCCCCACAAUGCAUAAUGUCGAUCUCUCAAUUCAACUAAAAAUUUAGCUAGAAACUUAAGAGAUCGAAAUUGCAUUGCUUUGUUCUUCUUGCUUCAUCAAUAGACAACUUUUUCUCCUCCGUCUCCGCGUCCAUAACCAACUUGUUCCUUGAUAGACACCUUCAGAGUCACCAAAAGUCCAUAAGCAUCCACCAAGAAGUAACUCCAUAUAAGGGUGAAAUAAAUGAGAAACAAAGAAAAGCAGCAAAGAGGAAAGUGAGUAGUAGAAAGGGAAGUAGGAAGUAAUGAAGAGGAUGAGGGACACAAUGGGUCGUAUAUAAAGGCGAGAUUAUAGCUUUUCCUCGAAAUUGAUUACAUUUUUCUUUUUUCCGUGACUAUGGUCAGGUCCGUUGGACCGGCCGAG
This 2459-nucleotide long non-coding RNA is filed under the name Capsicum annuum. Its description in RNAcentral is "long non-coding RNA (CANN_LNC008187)". Lineage: Eukaryota; Viridiplantae; Streptophyta; Magnoliopsida; Solanales; Solanaceae. The record is from RNAcentral.